Molecule: long non-coding RNA, 530 nt
Filed under: Elaeis guineensis (African oil palm)
Lineage: Eukaryota; Viridiplantae; Streptophyta; Magnoliopsida; Arecales; Arecaceae
Description: long non-coding RNA (EGUI_LNC003634)
Source: RNAcentral
CCGGUCGUCGGCCCACCCAAACCCCCUCCGGUAGUCCAGCCUCCACUGCCACCCAUCAUCCCACCCAAACCUUCACCCCAUGUCAAGCCUCCAAUGCCUCCAAAAGUGAAACCUCCGCCCUACGUUAAACCCCCAGUAGUCCGGCCUCCACUGCCGCCUGUGGUCAAGCCGCCGCCCGUCGUCAAGCCGCCGCCCGUCGUCAAGCCACCGAUCGUGAAGCCACCACCCGUCGUCAAGCCGCCGCCUGUCGUGAAGCCACCGCCGGUGGUCAAGCCGCCGCCUGUAAAGCCACCACCCGUGGUCAAGCCGCCGCCUGUCGUUAAGCCGCCGCCCGUGGUCUACCCGCCUCCCAUCAUCACGCCGCCGGCGCCGCCUGUCGUUAAGCCACCACCCGUGGUCUACCCGCCUCCCAUCGUCACGCCGCCGGCGCCGCCUGUCGUGAAGCCACCACCCGUGGUCUACCCACCGCCCGUCGUCCCGCCGCCGGCGCCGGCGCCGGCGCCGCCUGUCGUGAAGCCACCACCCGUGGC